This is a non-coding RNA of Cyanistes caeruleus (blue tit), 3693 nucleotides long. Lineage: Eukaryota; Metazoa; Chordata; Aves; Passeriformes; Paridae. The record is from RefSeq and is a predicted model, not a curated record.
GACUGACUGACUGACUGACUGACUGACUGACUGACUGACUGACUGACUGACUAACUAACCAACCAGCCCCCGCAGGCCGGGCCGGCGGGAGCGGAGCGCACCGCGGGCACAGCCCCGCACGGCCAGCCGCACUAAGCUGUGUGCUGCGGAGCCAAGGGUGCCCUGCACCCAAUCUCCGUCUGAGCCUUCACGCUUCGUGCCAGUUGUCACAAGUGUUCUAUUUACAGAAUCAGUAAGUGUGUAAGUAUCUGAAGGAUGGGUGUCAGGAGGAUGGACCAGGCUCUUCUCAGUGGUGCCCAGCAAUUGGAACAAGAGGCAAUGGGCAGUUUCAUCUGAACAUAAGGAAGAACUUGUGUGCUGUGAGGGUGACCAAGCGCUGGAACAGAUUGCCCGGUGAAGCUGUGGAGUCUCCCUCACUGGAGAAUUCAAGAACAGCCUGGACACAAUCCUCUGCUCUAGGAUGGCCCUGCUUGAGUACGGAGGUUGGACCAGAUGAACCCCUGUGGUCCUUUCCAAUCUGACCUGUUCCGUGAGUCUGUGAUCACAGCAUCUUCAGAGUAGGAAGGGACACACAAGGUUCGGCAGAGUCCAGCACAAGGGAAUAUUUAGUAGGAAAAGUUUGCUUUUAGGCACUUUUUGAGAAGGAUUUGGAAAAUUUCAGGGUUUCUUUAUGUAUACAGAAUCUCGCUUUUCUCUUAAAACAUUUACCCUUUGCCUAAAAAUUUACCUUGAAGAGAAUUUCACCAAUCUUUUCACACAGGCUCAGAGCCCUGGGAGCUGCUGAUUCGUGUUCAACCUGGCCUACCCUGAGUCAUUAGCAUGGACAGCUACACCAUUGGCCACCAGGGAUGGCAGCCCUCCCUUCGCCUCUCCUGGGGCACAGGAUUUGAAGAUAAAUUCAUAUUGCAGAGGAUAGGAACCCUGACGUGUAUGUAGGUACCAGAGCUGAGAUACAGAAUAUUCUGCAGGAUGUGACACAGAGGCAGCCAUUGCUAGGAGCCACUACUCUAUGAAAUGAUUCAUUCUCUUUUGCCCAAACCCUUAAAAAAUAGCCAGAAGAUGAACUACUGUGGAGAACUUCAUCUCAAGUGCCUUUGAUGCAAAGCUCAGAGUACUAAACUACAACACAAAUCAUUAGAAUGCUAUAACUGCAAAUUUUGCGUAACCAACAUUGAAGCAUUGUUUUAAAAUUCCAUGUUUGAAAAUGAUGGAUUUCUCUGUAUUUGUACUUUUCAUCCAAACGUACCAAACAUUGCCACAAAAAAUGUGGAAGUACCCAGGAUGCAGGAGCACCAAUGUACUUUUCAUGGUCUGGUCUUUUCUAAGUCCCCUUAGGCACCUGGUAGGAUUACGUAACAUUUAUGCUGCUGGCCUGGAUGGGUCAGCAAUGACUGUACUGAGUAUGAGAGUUCAGGCCCAAAUAUGCUCUUGUGCAAUAGUUAUGAACAGGCUAGCCAAGGAAUAAGGAGAACUUGAACAUCUGAGAAGCAGAGAGUCAAGGAAACACUGGUACUUUUGACUCAUACUAAAAGUAGUGUGCAUCUCAUUUUGCAUGGUUUACUCAAUGGCUGUAAUUGUUUGGUUCUUUUUUUUUCCGUGAAGAUCUGUGCAUGAAUUUUCUGGGAAGUAGAGACAUCUAUGAGCCUUAAGGUUUUACAGUAUUUCAGUACCACUUCAGGGUGCUUUGACAGUGCUCAGUGUUAUGCAAUAUUGUUUGAUUUGCUUUAAUUCUAUUACAAAUGGAUUAUUAUUAAAUUCUGCUAGUAAUGAAGAUAUUAAUUAUUGAUUGGCACUACAUUGGCCUACAGUUUUAAUCCAAUGCAUGGACUGUAAAAAGCAAAGGGAAUGACAGUCCCAGACAUGUUCACUGCUUCAAAGUGAUUUGCAAGGAACAGCUCAUUAAGAUUUGGAUGAUCAGUGAAAUUAAUACCAUCAUAAUAUUCUUGAUGUCUUGGUGUGAACUGAUUCCAGGUUUUGAAUGAGUUGCAUCAGAGAAACAUAUGUGUUUCUAUGAUCUCUUCUAAUGCCCUGAAAGGAGUAAGAUGAACCAAUAAGAGGAACACAGUUUCUUCUAAUCUUCACUUAGUCCAUGAAGGGAAAAAAACAUGUGAUGCUUAAAUAGUCCAUUUUAAACCCUUCUCCCAUCAAACUAGUUAUAUUCAGUAGGGAUACUAAAACUUACAGUUUUUCUUUCAGUGGGAAAUUCUUGUUUAUCACUGCUGUGUACUGUCACAACGACCUCAUGCACAAAAUGUGCCGUGAGUCACCAAAGAUAAUCUUUUUGAAAGGGCAAGAAUGCUCAGACAUCUACCUGUAGCUGAAAAAAGAAGCCUGUCAGUGUCCAAACUUCUCCUAUGUUUGUUUCCAUUUCAACAAGUAAGGAAACACUUUUGGUGUUUACUAUAUGGGCUUCACAUCACCUUUUUGAUUAAUAACAAUGGCAGUCUGGAGAAAUGGCUUGCAUGUGGUAGUAAAGGUAGUAAAGCUGUUGCUGUUGCUUUUGCAAAGCGGCCCAAGGCUUUGGUCUCUUAGCAUCACCAGAACCACCUAUCCUGUGCAUCUCAGUAUGACCCCUUUGUUCUCACGCCAGCAUUGUUCUUUAGCUUAAAUAACCUCUCUCCCUGAUGUUUGUUUUUCUCUGAUGUAUUUUUUAGACCACGGUGCUAUUCCCUCAUGGUUUCCUUGCUGGAAAACCUUACACUUUUUAUCCUGAGUGUCAGUGAGGAUGGUGUGGGGUGGUGCAGAGUGACUGUUUGCAGGCAGAACCUGCGGGAGGGUUUUUGUUGAGGCCAAAUCUCUCCUGGGACACAGAGAAGCACAUGGCAUGCAUUAGGCAGAAUGCGGCCAUUGUUCCUUACCCAAGCACAGAGUUUCGGAGAACUGCUGUGGGGAAUUACAUUUGAUCUGCCAGUGUUUUUUGGACAGCUAGAAAUUUACUGUUCCAUUCACUAUGUGCUUGGGGAGCUAUAGCUGGCCUGUGAAGCACGGUAGAGUGAAAGAGGAUACCACAAGAAAAAAUACGUUCUGCUUUUCUGACACUUGUUCACAUAUGCAUCUCUUUUUCAGUGCCCAAUAAGCUUUGCCUCUCUUUUGUUAUAAAAACUUCUCUGAGAAUCAGACUCUUUUCUACAGAGAAUUGGGCAGAGAAAAAUCCCAAUAAAAUGAACUGUGCAUUUCAAUGGUCUGAUUGAUGGGAUUUGUGUAUUUAAAAUUAUGUCCUGGCAUAGCUUUAUGUUUAAAACAUGCAACACAAGCUUCAUGUCAGCAAAAUUACUAAAACAAUCUGCACAGAGAAGACUUUUCUCCCUGAAUAAUAUGCAGUAAUUAUUUUUGAAUGACAAACUAAUAUAAAUUAUUACUAAAUAGCUGAACUAUUUCCUUGGCAUUGAAAACUUAACCAAAAUGGACAAUUCUCGAAAGUGCUGCAGAGCAGUGCCAGCCCUGAAAGGUUUUUAUUACUAAGAUUAUGACUGGAAUAUUUUCCACAAUUCCUCCCCUCAGUUUUAGUACCUUAAUACUUAGCAACUACCACUAAAAUCUUCAACUAUUGCCAUGCUCACUGUCAGACCUUGGUGCCAGAUAUGUCUUCUGACAGUCCCUUCCUGUAAAGAAACCACAUGGGGGGGAAAGGUGAAAGGGGAAACAGCCUGCAACGUAGACAUUUGCCUUUAUGCAAUGUAGACACUAUGCAGU